AUGCCUCUCUCCGGGUGGAAAGGGACGUUGUCGGUGAGAGUGAUCCAGGCACCGGCCCGCGCCGUCCGAAGUCGGCGGUGGCGGGUCUCUCGGCUCAGCGUGGGUCGUGCCCGCCCGGGACCUGGGCGGUGCGGGCGCUCAGGCGGCGCAUCCUCACCGGGGCCUGUGCUCACCGCGUCCGGCGGGCGGCGCUGCGCCUCCCCUCGGGGUCUUGCUCAGGGCUGCAGCUCGGCCCGCGCCGCUCCCCGGGGCGCCCUCUCCGCCCGCGCCAGGAGCCGGGCGGCCGCGGCCCCUCUCGCCGGCCCCAGCUGCAGCCUGUCUUUGUUGCUUCCUCUCGCACGACCGCCCGCCCGCGGCUCGCAGCCCCCAGGUCCGCCCGGGGGCGGGAGGGGGUCGUCUCCUCCGGGGCUGCACGCACCUGCAGCGGCCCCGACUCCUCGCCGGGCAUGCACCGGCCCCCGCAGGUUGCAAAGAGCGGCGGCGAGAAUGCACCGGCCCCUCCUCCUCCUACUCCAAGCCCUGGGUGUGGGGGGAGGGGAAGCUGGAGAGCAGAGGCAGCCGCGGCGGCGGCAGCGGGCGGCGGAGGCUCGGAUGCAGUCCCGGGGGCCUCGGCGCCGCGAAAUAACUGGUCCGGGUGGCGCAGGGCGGACGUGGGAAUGGCCAGGAGGACGGUACACCGGGCGUGCGAGCUCUCGAGCUGCAGCAGGGGCGGCGCGCGCCGGGCUCUCACGCGCCCAUGGCCCCUGGCGGCGCGCAGGGGCUCCCGGGGCCUCAGCCUCGCGCCGCCUGGCGCGCGCCGGCGCCUCGCCUCGCCUCGCCUCAGGCCCGGGUGCCGCGCGCAGCGUCCCGCAGGCGGCGGGCCGGGCUCUUCACCUCCCCCGGCUGGAGCACGCAGCCUUUCUGCGGAGCCGCCAGCCCGGCAGUCCUGCCCGCUGCUCCGCUCCGGCCCGACUGACAGGCGCGAGCGCCGGCAGCGGCCGCGGCGUCUCGCCCCCCGCCCGCCCCCUGCGAUCUAGCCCAAUCAGCGGCGGCCGAGAGGCGGUUACCAGGGUGACGCGGCGCCGCGUCCUGCGGGGGGCGGGGCCAGGGGCCGCCACGCGCGCUUUUCGCGGCAAAAUUCAAAGGCCGGCAGGGCGGCUCUCCAACCUCCUCCCCCAAGCUGGGGCGGGGCGGGGCCUACCUCGCGAGGACUGCAACUCCCGGCAUGCAGCGCGCCGGCGCCGGGCGGAGGGGCCCCGACUUGGGGCGCAGAGCAUGCUCGUAUUUGUAGUCCCUUUGUCGGGACCCAGCGGUGGAAAAACCAGUAUCCUUUAUGGAGCGCAUAUUUGGGGCAAGGCACUGUGCUAA
This 1347-nucleotide long non-coding RNA is filed under the name Felis catus (domestic cat). RNAcentral's name for it is "lncRNA (ENSFCAG00000052471.1)". The record is from RNAcentral. Lineage: Eukaryota; Metazoa; Chordata; Mammalia; Carnivora; Felidae.